UACGGAGGGGGCUAGCGUUAUUCGGAAUUACUGGGCGUAAAGCGCACGUAGGCGGAUUGGAAAGUCAGAGGUGAAAUCCCAGAGCUCAACUUUGGAACUGCCUUUGAAACUCUCAGUCUUGAGGUCGAGAGAGGUGAGUGGAAUUCCGAGUGUAGAGGUGAAAUUCGUAGAUAUUCGGAGGAACACCAGUGGCGAAGGCGGCUCUCUGGUCUGUAACUGACGCUGAGGCGCGAAAGCGUGGGGAGCAAACAGG
This 253-nucleotide ribosomal RNA is filed under the name uncultured bacterium. RNAcentral describes it as "partial 16S ribosomal RNA". It matches the Rfam family "Bacterial small subunit ribosomal RNA", at positions 524 to 776 of the family's 1533-position model. The record is from RNAcentral.